This is a long non-coding RNA of Bacillus rossius redtenbacheri, 4156 nucleotides long. RefSeq lists it as uncharacterized. The transcript is spliced from 2 exons. The record is from RefSeq and is a predicted model, not a curated record. NCBI's taxonomy places the organism in Eukaryota, Metazoa, Arthropoda, Insecta, Phasmatodea, Bacillidae.
AACAAAAAUUCAUGUGACACGUUAAGCUGUCAUUGUGUAGAAAAGUUAUUUUUAAUUUAUUAAGUGCUUUGUUUUCCUGAGAACUAGGCUAGCCAACCAUUUACCAAUAUUUUUCUCGGAAUGGAAGAAUUUUUUGCUGUCAAACUAAAAACUUUGAUAAAGUUACCUGUCAGGCGAGUGUACUUGUUUGUGAAGAUAACAUGGUUUUUUACUGUGUUAGUUGAUGUACAAGAUGUGUAACAUCUUAGCUGUCGGCAUACAACUUUUGGUAGGAGUAAUUUCGUGAAUGGAGCGGAAAUUUGUAAACAGGGUGUUCUGCACCUCCCUUUGUUACACUAAUAAUUCUAUCUCUCUCUUUCUUUAAUUUAUUGUUGAAGUAGGGAGAGAAGGCAGUACAGGGUGGAGGAAAAAAGUGUAGGUACUGUGUUGUUGAUACCUUCGUAAACUUAAUAAUAUAACAUUGCAUAAAAACCUUAGAAACAAUGCUCUAACAAAUAAACAAUAGUAGACGGUAACAACUGACGAAUCCAAUCUGUAGUUUACUAUGGAAAUAUAUAGUAUUUUAAUUAUGGAGUAAGAAAUUUGUAUAUUAUGUGGAUAGGAAAUUGAUUAUUUAAAGAGUGGUGAAAAAUCUGAAGUUUAAUAGUUUGAACCAUAGAUAGUAAACAUAACACAGCAACACUUUCAAUAAUAAACAUACACUGACAUACAUAACCUGAACCUGACUCUUGAUACAUAUGAAAAUUAACAAUAUUAUUCAACGAUAUAAUUAGGAAUCUUUUGUAAGUUUGAAAAUAUUAUAAGAAAUGUAUAUAUUCAUCCUUUCCAAGUGUGUAUAAGAAUUUAAGGUUGGUGGAGUUAUAACAAUUUUAAUACUCAACAAUAAAAUAUGAAUUUACUUAAAAAUUCUUAAUUUAUAUUGUGACAAAUCUUUCCUGGAGAUUAUUUGCAGUUCAAAUGUCUUAGGAUGUAUGUUGGCACAGAUCACACCCAAAAGUUCAAAAGUGAUUUAAUUAAGUCCAGUAGUUGUUUCAAAAUUUAUAUCGUUCAUAAAUCAAAUGAUUUCAAAGUGAGUUAAAAAUUAGAGAGUUUAAUAUCAAAUUAAAUUCUAUUUUAAAUAGAAUUACACGGCUUUAGUUCAGCGGGAGUACGAUUAUCUUAAAAGUAGGACUUCUGGGUGUCUAAGUAGAAUUACUUCUCUUUAUAUUAUGUUAUAUACACCAUCUAAUUGAAGUUCAGUUUUAUCAACUUUUGCAACAAUAUAGUUUGUUUGGCUAGAAAUCUCACGUAUUUAUAAGCAUGUAAGCAAAUUUAUACUGGCCGCUUAAGCCUUGAACAAUGGCGACACUGCUUAAUUAUGGCGUCCCUAGCUAAGCAAUUCUUAAAUUGGCUUAUACUUGGCAUAACUGCUUUAAAUCCAAGUAAAUAUUACUUACAGUUCGUUAAGAUAUUUAGUUGUAACAAUUUCAUUAAUGUACACAACCGACGAUACCCUAAACUCAUAUUUUUAAUAAUUUUAAUUGUUCAGGCGUCAGGCCUUAGCCUACACGUAGUAACGCCAAAAAUCACACUUUUUUAAGUUACUUCCUGUUCCUGUGUGGCUGAGAUACGUGUAUACCCAAUAUAUAUGGUUCAUAACAUCCUUUCAUGGCCUUUGGUUACAACAAUACGGUAAGGAACUAGAAUAAAAUUAAUUGAAUUUACAAAUUAAACAGAUGGUCAGAAUAAAAAAUAAACGGUAAAAAAAUUAACGAAAAUUACAACAAUGCAGAUGAAAGAAAAAAAUAUUAAUAUUAUUAAAGUUCCACAGAUGAAAAGUUUAUGGUUGUCAUAAGGCGAAAUAUUUACUAAACAUUCAUAGCAGAUAUCUUAAUAAACACGAAGAUGUCUGUGCUAUUACCAUGUAAUAGUACAGAUGCUGUCCCAUGGGAUAAUCAUAAAACGAAGCGAGCACAAAGCAUAAGAUCGCCGGUUUAUUAUUAACCCAUCUGUCUCUCUCACACACAGCAGGUGCGACCGUUACUCGAAGCGACGGUUGAGAAUUGGCAAGGAGGUGGGGGUUGGGUGGCGCGCUAAUCAGCGAUCAACCGGCGGCCGAGGCGUGGCGUGACUGUUCAGUCUCGUGUCAGCCGUCUCGCAGUAGACACCUCGCUGCUUCGCGCUCCGGAAAUGGCGCGAAAACUCCGUCGUCUCGUAGUCGUGCUGUUGAUAGGGUGUUGGGAUGGUGAAGAACAUCAAGCAGGAACAUAGCACUGGAUUCACCACAGCGUCGUGGUGUGCUGCCACACAACUGGGCAGGCGAUAACGAUACCUCCACGCCACCGCAGGGGGGUGUCGGCUACUGAUCACGGCAACAGGAUGUACCGUGUCGGGUGACCUGCGCUCGUGAGAACUAGUGGCUGACAGUGGCGGGUCCUGACGAUGUCCGCUACAGUGCCGGGCUCGGCUCUCCAGGUGGCCCGUGGGCUGUCCCAGCCCUUGACCAGGGAUGGUAUCAACGGGGAAUAGACGGAGGUCUCAUGCUGACGCCGCUGUGUCAGCAUACGUGGCGUCAACCUAAUGUCUAGUAGGAGCAAGGCCAGCUCCGUCAUCGCACCGCUAAGUAUAUUUCCGUGUUCUACACUCGUGGUUAUUUCCGCACUAUGCACACGACAGGUGUGUAUCUAGUAUAUCGCGUUUCCAUAACUCACUUUAACAGUAAACAUAACAAUGUUCUGUGCUGACUGGUUGCUGCUUGAAGUCGCUCUCACAGUAGGAUUGGUGUAAAUAACCAGGAAAGAUUUAAUCACUUUUACGAAAAUUAAUUACUUAAUCAAAAAAAAAUUAUAUUCGUUACGAGAAAUAGGAAAUUGUUUAAAGAAAAUAAAUUCUAGUUGUCAUUAUUGACGUAUUAAUAAUAUACUAUACAUUGCAACAAUAAGAUAAAAUCUUAUUAAUUAUUCAACAUCAAAGUAAUGCUAUAAUUGUGGAUUAUCAUAGGAACACAAUAUUUACACAAUUGUACUGCUAGUUUACUUAUUGGUUGACUAGUCUGUCAGUGGUAUAACCUUAUAUUAGUUUUCUGGUUUUGUUUACAACUUGUAAUUACCAUAUCAAUAAUUAUCAGUGUUGAUUUACACCAUUUUUUUUUUUUUUUUGUAAUUAUCCUCAUUAGAUAUCAUGAUAAUGUAGCAUACAAUUGCUAUUCAGCCUAUUUUACUGCUACAUAACAGUAUUAUGAUUGGAAUUUUAUUCCACAAAAAAAAAUAUUAUUCAUAUUUACAAUGGUUUCAACACAGCAUUUAACCUGUGAUUUACUGAGUAAAUUAGUUGACUACUAAUGCAAUUAUCAGUAUUAUUACAAUUUCUUACAACAUAUUAAGAGAUUAUUAAAUAACAUAACACAAGAAAAAUAUUUACACACAAGAUUAACCAGUUGAAAAAUUAUAUACAUAAUUAAAGUUAUACAUAAUUGAAUAUCAUCAUUUCUUAUGAUGCAACAGUCAUUAUUAUUUUACAGUUUGUUACACAUAUUUCAUAACCUUAUCAGUUCUUAUGAUAUCUUGACAGAUAUUAUUAUUAUCCAAGCCUAAAAUUAUUACAUAGUGUUCUACAGAUGAAUAAUAAUUCAGAUGCAGUCUUGGACAAUUUCAGUGUUUUUUCUUGAGUAUGGUGAGGUUUUCAGCUGGUGGUUUACAGUCUCUCACUAUCUUACUCUGGACACAGCUGCACAGUAGAUUACUUGCAGAAUGCUGUUGUCUUGUUAGGUAGGCUGUCAGCUACUGGCUGAUGCGGAGUCUCAUAUCAUUUCAAGAAUGUUCAUGAUCUUCCAGUCAGGUGUUACACCUAUUUACCCUGACAUAUAAAAAUUUCUUGCACUUUUAUACAUUUGUCACAAUUCUGUUACAGUGACUUCCUUCAACAACUGGGCAGCAUAAGAGCGGACUUUCUCUCGCAACACCAGUGUUCCUUGCUACUGUGGAUAACAACUCAGAAGACAAUCACAUCAUCAUGUGCUGCUGAACAACAGUGACGUCACUCGCGUGACAGUGUGAUCCUCAAGAUGACAGUGCUUCGAAUUAUGUGUUACACAUCAAAAUAAUAUUCGGAGUUCAUAAAAUUAAUUUGUGCCCAUAAUUUAUAAAAUCAAAUUCCAAAAUAAAUUAGUUCCAGUGCA